CACAACCCCCCCUUCACUCCGUCUCUCGGCCGCUGGGCGAGUGAGUGAGCGAGGGAGUGCGUAAGAAAGGCAAAGCGGCAGGCGUGUUUCAACAGAUGGCUCUCAGUGUCCCGCUUCAGCCAGUACUCACUCUCUCUGUGCACUUAGAGCUUUCCUGUUAGAGAGAGAGAGAGACAGAGAGAGAGAGAGAGAGAGAGAGCAGUUCAGUUUAAGAAAGUGAAAGGGCUUUGAGAACUUCUCCUUUUUCGUUGUUUGAAAACUUUUCGUCUACUCUCUAGUGAGCAGUAGAGAGAAAAGAUAGAGGGAGAGAGAGGAGGGUGGCGUGAGUGGGACGUUGACCCCCGCUGCUCUUACUCUCUCUUGGCCGGCUGCUCUGGGGGAUCCACUGCUAGUCUCAGGCGGGACAAUAAACCACCUGCUCCAAGUCCGGGGGCUUACACCGCCAACACUGGACCUGCAGCGCUGUGCGUGAGGCCCGAAGCCUCAACACUCUGACGCACAAACGAAUUCCCAUCAGCUGUUGAGGGUGGACCUGAGUGCUUGACAGGUUUGCUGGAGCUGCAUAUAGAACUGAAUGGCUGCACACAGGCUUUAGAGACACCAGUGCUCUUCUGUAUAAGGUAGGACUAUUUCUUUAAUUAUGUUACCACCAUGGGCACGAGACAUCUAUCGCUUUCUGUCUGUCUCUC
Long non-coding RNA from Pygocentrus nattereri (red-bellied piranha), 689 nucleotides. The record is from Ensembl. Lineage: Eukaryota; Metazoa; Chordata; Actinopteri; Characiformes; Serrasalmidae.